AGUUGUGUGGUGAGCAUAGAGCGAACUAUUCUUUCUCUUUUUACUAAAGAAUACUAUGUGCUCACCUCUUAUGGUGGCAUACAACUAUUUUUGGAGGGAUUGUUCCUCAUUGGAAUGAC
Molecule: small nuclear RNA, 119 nt
Organism: Vitis vinifera (wine grape)
Lineage: Eukaryota; Viridiplantae; Streptophyta; Magnoliopsida; Vitales; Vitaceae
Rfam family: U5 spliceosomal RNA
About the family: U5 RNA is a component of both types of known spliceosome. The precise function of this molecule is unknown, though it is known that the 5' loop is required for splice site selection and p220 binding, and that both the 3' stem-loop and the Sm site are important for Sm protein binding and cap methylation.
Source: Rfam